UUCAUAAACUGUAUUUUGGUCAGAUAACUGAUAAUUAGUAAAUAGAAAAUGAAUUGUAGCAUAAAAUUAUUAGAAAAAAAUUGGAAAUUAUAACUUAACACUUAAGGAGUACAAGUUGCAUCCAGCCCCGCUUAAUAAAAAAGCACACCAUGCGGCUCAUAUGACUAGCACUGUGCGGAAAGAGAGAAGCAGUGUGCCCAUCAUUUCCAACACCUAGCAAUACAAAGUCAAUGACUUGGUCCGGAAUUAAAUAGUUGAUACUUUCUUCGUACAACUGAUCCCCUUUGCUUGCG
This is a long non-coding RNA of Mya arenaria, 293 nucleotides long. RefSeq lists it as uncharacterized. NCBI's taxonomy places the organism in Eukaryota, Metazoa, Mollusca, Bivalvia, Myida, Myidae. The transcript is spliced from 3 exons. The record is from RefSeq and is a predicted model, not a curated record.